UACGGGGGGGGCAAGCGUUGUUCGGAAUUACUGGGCGUAAAGGGCGCGUAGGCGGCCAUCUAAGUCAGACGUGAAAUCCCUCGGCUCAACCGAGGAACUGCGUCUGAUACUGGAAGGCUUGAAUCCGGGAGAGGGAUGUGGAAUUCCAGGUGUAGCGGUGAAAUGCGUAGAUAUCUGGAGGAACACCGGUGGCGAAGGCGGCAUCCUGGACCGGUAUUGACGCUGAGGCGGCGAAAGCUAGGGGAGCAAACGGG
Molecule: ribosomal RNA, 254 nt
Filed under: uncultured bacterium
Lineage: Bacteria
Description: partial 16S ribosomal RNA
Rfam family: Bacterial small subunit ribosomal RNA
Source: RNAcentral